Molecule: small RNA, 796 nt
Filed under: Pan troglodytes (chimpanzee)
Lineage: Eukaryota; Metazoa; Chordata; Mammalia; Primates; Hominidae
Description: retained intron
Source: RNAcentral
GGGGGGCCCUGCUCUCUAGGCUGUCGUGGACGUGGUCUCCACAGGCCACAGCAGCACCUGUGAGUCCCUGGCCUUCUUCCCGGGGUCUGGCAGGUGCUGCUCAGGUGUGGGCUGAUCUGCCAGUGUGGGGAGUGGGGGUGGCUGUGCCCCAGGGUCAAGGGUCAUACCCUGUCGCCCACAGGACAAGUUGGAUGGCUUUGUUCCCGCACACUUUCUUGGCUGGUACCUGAAGACCCUGAUGAUCCGAGACUGGUGGAUGUGCAUGAUCAUCAGCGUGAUGUUCGAGUUCCUGGAGUACAGCCUGGAGCACCAGCUGCCCAACUUCAGCGAGUGCUGGUGGGAUCACUGGAUCAUGGACGUGCUCGUCUGCAACGGGCUGGGCAUCUACUGCGGCAUGAAGACCCUUGAGUGGCUGUCCCUGAAGACGUACAAGUGGCAGGGCCUCUGGAACAUUCCGACCUACAAGGGCAAGAUGAAGAGGAUCGCCUUCCAGUUCACGCCGUACAGCUGGGUUCGCUUCGAGUGGAAGCCGGCCUCCAGCCUGCGUCGCUGGCUGGCCGUGUGCGGCAUCAUCCUGGUGGUAAGGCCGGGCUGCCUCGCGACGGCGCGGCGGGCUGGGGGCCAGAGCUGGUGCUCACCCUCUCCUCCCCUAGUUCCUGUUGGCAGAACUGAACACGUUCUACCUGAAGUUUGUGCUGUGGAUGCCCCCGGAGCACUACCUGGUCCUCCUGCGGCUCGUCUUCUUCGUGAACGUGGGUGGCGUGGCCAUGCGCGAGAUCUACGACUUCAUGGAUGA